CGACGCCGCGUGGAGGAGGAAGGCCUUCGGGUUGUAAACUCCUUUUAUGUGGGAAGAAACAAAUGACGGUACCACAAGAAUAAGCCCCGGCUAACUCCGUGC
This 102-nucleotide ribosomal RNA is filed under the name uncultured bacterium. RNAcentral describes it as "partial 16S ribosomal RNA". It matches the Rfam family "Bacterial small subunit ribosomal RNA", at positions 392 to 508 of the family's 1533-position model. The record is from RNAcentral.